AAGUAGUGGUAGUGAUUUUCAUUUAAAUCUGCAGUCAACUCAAUAUAACUAUAUUUUUAUUCUUUUAGCCCUGGUUUCCUGAGGUUUGUGAGGGUUUUAUGUGGCAUGUCUUCUGAUGAAAGGAAAGCAUUCUUGCAGUUUACCACUGGUUGUUCAACUCUACCCCCAGGUGGACUGGCUAACCUGCAUCCCAGGCUCACGGUUGUACGCAAGGUUGAUGCUACUGAUGCAAGCUAUCCAUCAGUCAAUACAUGUGUGCAUUACCUUAAGUUGCCUGAAUAUUCUUCCGAGGAGAUCAUGAGAGAGCGCCUGCUAGCUGCUACAAUGGAGAAAGGCUUUCAUCUCAAUUGAGCUUUAAAGUGCAAUGGGAGACAUCAGAGACUUUAAAAAUACUAGUGAAGCCUCUUGUGUUUGUGUGCAGAGAAGUAUAUGAUCCUCCAUGCUAAUGACACUUGCCUUUUUUUCCACCAUUAAGGCUUUAAGAACAUGUGGAAUAAGUUUUUUAGCUGCUAAUGACAAAACAAAUCCUGUAACUUAUAGCACAGAACACUGUGUUACUUUACAAGGGCUUAUGUGACUGGAAUAAGGUGGUCCUACUUGACUGUUCCAAAGAGCAGCUUCUCAGAUCUUCAGUGUUCACUGGUAAAUUUCUAACCGUGUAUUUGUGU
Molecule: small RNA, 668 nt
Filed under: Pongo abelii (Sumatran orangutan)
Lineage: Eukaryota; Metazoa; Chordata; Mammalia; Primates; Hominidae
Description: retained intron
Source: RNAcentral